Molecule: long non-coding RNA, 6091 nt
Organism: Betta splendens (Siamese fighting fish)
Lineage: Eukaryota; Metazoa; Chordata; Actinopteri; Anabantiformes; Osphronemidae
Exons: 6
Source: RefSeq, a predicted model, not a curated record
CUGAAGUUCCCGCGGUUGCUUUUUUUUAAAAAGUGAUUGAUGUCAGGUGUGCGUCGACCUCUGUUGGAGGCCGCACGCGCUAACUGUGGUAAAACUAAUUGUCACGCACUCAUUACACUGAAUUAAGGACGUGUUUGUGUCUUGGCUGCCGGUAAAAUGUUUCAAACGCAGCUGGACGUCACGCCGUCAAGAUAAAUGUGUGGCCUGGAGUUUUAACAUCAGUCAAUGUUCCUCAGAAAUCAAACCUCGUUAAUGUAUCAACUCAUUUACAAACGUUUUGAGAAGAGUCGUCUGCGCCUCUGGCACCUGGUCCGGGCCUCACUUCUCCUGACGGAUACAGUAAAUAACGACUGUAACAUGAAAUUCAGAUCUGUCCACUGAUCUUUUAUACAUUUUAUAAAACAUACGUUGUAUUGAAAAAAAUAAAUAAAAUGUAUAAUUUUUCAUCAGUUUAAUUAUCUUUAUAUAAUAUUUUACUGGGUAACAGUCGCUGAAUUUGUGCAUUUCCUGAUUGGCAUGUUCCGUUUCUGUUUUUGCUUGACAUCAAUAUAAUGUUUGCAGUCUACAGAUUUUAUUCUACACCAUGACUUGUACAAUCUGCCUAAUGUGUUGAUCACCACAUUAGGCAGAUUGUUGUGCCUUAAUUAAUUCUGAUUGCGCUGAAGAGAAAACUUGAGGGGAGGCUAGAAAGUUCUCUGCUUAUUCCAGCAGCUUUAGUGCGUAAAACAGUUCAAGUAAAUUUUGACCUUGAGUGAAUUAUGCUCUUAUCCUAAUGAGGAGCAAACACAUAAAAAUUAUUAAUUUACAAAACAAAAACAAUUUUUAAAAUUUUUCAAAACUUCCCUGAGUGAAGGUAAUUGAACAUUUACACCUCCUGUAUACAGUACUUAAGAAUGAGUUGUGAAGAACACGUGGAGGGUAUAGAUUAAAUUGAGCCAAACUAAUUUUUCUUUUUUUUUUUUUUAAAUGAGAGUAAUGAUAAAAUGUAACCAUGGUACCAUGUUCUCACAAUUAAAUGGUGACAAAGACACUUUUUGAGCUAUUGCAAUUGUAGGUCUUACUCCAGGGGUCUCACCAGCCAUUAACCUCACCUCUCUGACACGUGGCUGCUCCCCCAUGGGAUGAGUUAAAAUCACCCGCUUCGGAUGUUAUCAGCCAUAACGAAUGGGCUGAUCAGAACUUAUCAGCGCAUUCGUACGGGCCAGUAGGUGCCCGCUCUUCCUACUCGCGAACAGCUCACAGCUAUCUAAAUUGCUAUGUUCAGCUUGCAACCAGUAGAUGUACAUCUGUCCCAGAAUCUGUAUGUGCAGCGCAGUAAUGAUCUGACAUCUUCCUCCAGGAUUAUCAGUCACAUGGGUACAGGACACCUUCUGCACCUUUGUCAUGGCAGGGUUGAGUCAUUUUUUUUUUUUUGAUUUUCAGGUGAGUUCAUAGCUCAAUGUACUGGCAGAACAGUAGUUAUUAUAAUUAGCAUGCUAUGAAAAUGGAGCAAAAGGAAACUUCUAAUGUCUGUCUCUGUCUAUCUUUUCAGGUAGAUCUACGAACUGUAAGUCACUAUCUUUUAUUUCUCUUGGCCGCCGUGCCUGUGUCCUGGCUUCUUUGUCAGGUCUGGCUGAUCAGAGUGGAUCUAUGUUGAUUCUGUUGCCCAUACUUUUUCUGUCUGUGUCAAACUGUUAGUUUCAUCCAAUUGACAUGGUUAAUGACAUUUUGUUUUAGACCGGCCGUCUACUGGUCCUAGUCAUAACUACCAGCCGGCUACUGGUAAGACCGGCCGUCUACCGGUCUUAGUCACAAUGACCAGCCGUCUACUGGUAAGACCGGCCGUCUACUGGUCCUAGUCAUAACUACCAGCCGGCUACUGGUAAGACCAGCCGUCUACUGGUCUUUUAUUUUUGGGUGAAACUAAUUUCUUUUGUAGGUUUAAGUAGAGAGCUUUUAGCUUGGUAGCUGGUGGUGGUCGGCCAUCUGCUUGGUUAGAUGUAGUUGCUUUUGUGGGCAGUCUGCUGGCUUAGACGUAGGUGGUGGUGGUCGGCCGUCUGGUUAGAUGUUUGGCAUGGGUAACCUUUUUAGCUGUUGAAGGAGAGCAGGUCUGAUUUGCACAGCUUGGUUUCCGAUGGGCAGGUCUAGGUCAGGAUGUCAGUUAUUGUCUAAUGACCUUUUUCCCCUCAGGCAUAUCUACAAAUGGUAAGUGUAGUUUUUAUUGUCUAUCUUGCCCCCCUCGUUUUGCCUCACCUGUAUCUUUUUUAUUCCGUUUUUGUUUCGCAUUUUAUUCAUGUUCAUUUUGAUGCCGGUUAGACCAUAAGGUCUAAAUAGCAAGUCCAACAGGUUUCCUUUUUUUAUUUUUCCAACUUGCGCGUACGUACCCGCAUUUAUUCAUUCAACAUGGCUUCCAGCUCUGCGAUUUUGUCGCUGUAGACCAGGAAGGUCUACACACAGUAAGUGGGUUUUGGAUGGCCGCCGUGCCAUCGCUACUAACCAAUUUGAUUUUCACCUUCAUCCAGAGGACCAUCCAUUUUGCUCGUCGUCAAUUUACAAAGGGUAAGUCCGUGUGUUUCCUUGGCUGCCAUGCCAAAAUCGCGAGCUUCCUUGCUCUCUGUCACUGUUUUCCUUGCUUCCCUUUAACCUGCUGUGCUCUUCUGAUGCUGCUUCUCUCUGGCCCCUGUGCCAAAACCUUCUCAACUGGUGGUUUCGUACAUCUGGUUAGGAAUGUGCAAUGACACGUGUUAGCUAGACCAGCCGACUACUGGUGCAGUUCAGGGGCACCAUUUGUGGGUUUAUUUCUUUGGCUGCCAUGCCAAAAUCGCGAGCUCCCUUGCUCUCUGUCACUGUUUCAUUUGCUUUCUCUUAGCGAAGGAAGAGCACAGUAGCUGCUUCUUUCUGUCCACUUUUUUUUUUUUAACCUUUUCCACUCUGAUCAGCCUGUUGUUGGAGUGAGCCAAGGAAGGCAGAGUCCAUUCUGUUUUUAUAGCUUGUGGCAAAUGGCUUACGGUCCUAGUGUGUUGUGGGCUGAGGUCCCAGUGGUUGGGGGGGGAGGAGACUGAAGAAGAGGAGACUGGAAGACUGAAGAUGUAGAGCUGUUACAGCGCCACCGAUGAUGGCAGAAGAUGGUACAGCAUGUCUACAGGACUCAUCGGUUGGCUCAGAGGUCCAAAGACAUCAAGGCAUCUCCUCCGAUGAAUGUGGCAAAGAAAAGGAUGCUGUGCGGAUAGUCUGUGUUGGUGGCUACAAGGCCUGGUUGAGAAAGCCAACUAGGGAUCAAUUGUCGCAUGGGUAUUGGACACCUUCUGCACCUGGGACAAUGGUGGGGUCCAGUCCUCUAGAAUUUUUUUGGUAGAUCUACGAACUGUAAGUCACUAUCUUUUAUUUCUCUUGGCCGCCGUGCCUGUGUACUGGCUUCUUUGUCAGGUCUGGCUGAUCAGAGUGGAUCUAUGUUGAUUCUGUUGCCCAUACUUUUUCUGUCUGUGUCAAACUGUUAGUUUCAUCCAAUUGACAUGGUUAAUGACAUUUUGUUUUAGACCGGCCGUCUACUGGUCCUAGUCAUAACUACCAGCCGGCUACUGGUAAGACCGGCCGUCUACUGGUCCUAGUCACAGCUACCAGCCGGCUACUGGUAAGACCAGCCGUCUACUGGUCUUUUAUUUUUGGGUGAAACUAAUUUCUUUUGUAGGUUUAAGUAGAGAGCUUUUAGCUUGGUAGCUGGUGGUGGUCGGCCAUCUGCUUGGUUAGAUGUAGUUGCUUUUGUGGGCAGUCUGCUGGCUUAGACGUAGGUGGUGGUGGUCGGCCGUCUGGUUAGAUGUUUGGCAUGGGUAACCUUUUUAGCUGUUGAAGGAGAGCAGGUCUGAUUUGCACAGCUUGGUUUCCGAUGGGCAGGUCUAGGUCAGGAUGUCAGUUAUUGUCUAAUGACCUUUUUCCCCUCAGGCAUAUCUACAAAUGGUAAGUGUAGUUUUUAUUGUCUAUCUUGCCCCCUCCCCCCUCGUUUUGCCUCACCUGUAUCUUUUUAUUCCGUUUUUGUUUCGCAUUUUAUUCACGUUAAUUUUGAUGCCGGUUAGACCAUAAGGUCUAAAUAGCAAGUCCAACAGGUUUCCUGCCUGCUUCCCCAAGUCCUUUUUUUUGUUUUUCCAACUUGCGCGUACGUACCCGCAUUUAUUCAUUCAACAUGGCUUCCAGCUCUGCGAUUUUGUCGCUGUAGACCAGGAAGGUCUACACACAGUAAGUGGGUUUUGGAUGGCCGCCGUGCCAUCGCUACUAACCAAUUUGAUUUUCACCUUCAUCCAGAGGACCAUCCAUUUUGCUCGUCGUCAAUUUACAAAGGGUAAGUCCGUGUGUUUCCUUGGCUGCCAUGCCAAAAUCGCGAGCUUCCUUGCUCUCUGUCACUGUUUUCCUUGCUUCCCUUUAACCUGCUGUGCUCUUCUGAUGCUGCUUCUCUCUGGCCCCUGUGCCAAAACCUUCUCAACUGGUGGUUUCGUUCAUCUGGUUAGGAAUGUGCAAUGACACUUGUUAGCUAGACCAGCCGACUACUGGUGCAGUUCAGGGGCACCAUUUGUGGGUUUAUUUCUUUGGCUGCCAUGCCAAAAUCGCGAGCUCCCUUGCUCUCUGUCACUGUUUCAUUUGCUUUCUCUUAGCGAAGGAAGAGCACAGUAGCUGCUUCUUUCUGUCCACUUUUUUUUUUUAACCUUUUCCACUCUGAUCAGCCUGUUGUUGGAGUGAGCCAAGGAAGGCAGAGUCCAUUCUGUUUUUAUAGCUUGUGGCAAAUGGCUUAAGGUCCUAGUGUGUUGUGGGCUGAGGUCCCAGUGGUUGUGGGUGGACAAAUUUACAGCCAGACGAGGGGAGACUGAAGAAGAGGAGACUGGAAGACUGAAGAUGUAGAGCUGUUACAGCGCCACCGAUGAUGGCAGAAGAUGGUACAGCAUGUCUACAGGACUCAUCGGUUGGCUCAGAAGCAUGUGGCGUUUCAAGGCGUUUCCAUGAAGCAGAUGUGGAAUUCAAAUGGACACUGGAUUCGCUGACUCCUCCCUCCCAAGUUUGAUCUUUUGUGAAACAAGGUUACAUAACACUUUAAAGGUAGAAUUUUGUUUUUUGGUCCAACUGCUGCCAGUUUUAUAGAAACGUCAAAUGCUUGAAGUUAUUGUUGCGGAGGAGUUGUGCUGUGCUCGCUGUUAUCAACAUUCUAAGUUGGAUGUUAGUCAAGUCAAUUUCAAUGGCCUCCAGGCUUUCAGUAUUAACUGCUGACUCAUCUCUGCCAUGUUUGGGUGCUGCGAAACUUUGCGAUAACUUAGUUUGUGUUGGCGCGUUUUAGAAUCUUAUUCUCAAAGCAUAAUGGGAGGCCUCCCAGCAGGGGAACCUAUUCCACCCCUGUUUAUUUUACAGUAGUUAAUUGUUGCACCGGACGGUCGGCGUAUUCAAAGGACCAAACCGGGCAGAGAUGACUCAAAGCAUUUCAGUGAGCACCCAGUUUAAGUUUCAUCCUAGUGAUGAGCACAACAGCAUGGCUAUCAAAGCCUAGGUUAUGUUUUAACAGUCAGAUAAGAUAAAAUUUGAACUUUUUUUCCUUUUUCUCAAAUGUUAAAUUUACCUCAAACUGGCAAUGAUGGAUGUACAAAGACCUUUUUAAUAUUUCUAACUGGUCUAUGAAGAUGAAAUGACGUUUAGUUCACCCUAAAAUGCAAGACUUAACAGAACCACUAACAUGUUUUGGCCUUGUACCGGCUGGAGAAUGUGGUUAGCCCUCAAAGGACCAUGCAGACAACAUGGUGGUUGCAGAAAAGAUAGGACCAACCAGUAGACAAGGGAAGACUGAAGAAGCAAAGCAGCCACAACCAAACCACCCAUGCAGGAUCAAAGUACAAAACAUCUGUAGAGGUUACGAUUCUGGCCACAGAACGGUUGGCUCAGGGAUCUGGACAUAAAGCUGUCUCUCGGUACUGCGCCUGACGUGACCAGUUUGACCUGUUUCAGAAUUGGCAAGUGACAAGUUGUUUUUGAAUUUUUUUUUCAUUACUUUUAACAUUUUCUAUGACUUGAUUUCACAAACGUUGUAAUUUCAAACUGGACUAAAGGAAUUUCAGUAAAUACUUAAACACAAGUCCUUAUU